AUGCAGCAUCCGCAAGCAGCUGAUGAAGCGGUACCCACAUCAUUUGCAUCCACCGCCGCCGGAGGUCCACCUCCGCCGCCGAUGCCGCCGCCGACCACCGCGGGCACACUCUCGAACAGGGCUCUCCACGCCCGCCUCCUCCGCUCCGGCGCCCUCGACGCCGACCCCUCAGCCGCCGCCCCGCUCGCCGCGUCGGCCGCUAACUCUUCCCUCCCCUACGCGCUCUCCCUCCUCCGAGCCCACCCCUCCACCUUCUCCUACAACACCACCAUCCGCUCCCUCGCGCACGGCCCCCGCCCCCACCUCGCCGUCGCUCUCUACCGCUCCAUGCUUCUCGGCCCCCUCUCCAACCCCAACAACUACACCUACCCGCCCCUCCUCGCCGCCUGCGCCCGCCUCCUCCCCGCGAGCUCACCCACCGCAGCAGCCGCACCGGGCACCGCCGUCCACGCCUCCCUCUUCCGCCGCGGCCUCGACUCCCGCGACCGCUUCAUCGGCGCGUCACUCCUCUCCUUCUACGCGGCCGCCGGGGACCUGCCCGCCGCACGCCAGGUGUUCGACGCAAGUCCCCCCGGCCAAAGGGACCUGCCUCUCUGGAACUCGCUCCUCCACGCCCACCUCUCCCAGGGCUUCUACACCCACGUGCUGCGCCUCUCGCGCCAGAUGCCCGCCGCCGACGAGGUCACGCUGCUCGCCCUCGUCUCCGCCUGCGCGCACCUUGGCGCGCUCGACACUGGCCGCUGGGCGCAUGCUUCCUAUGCAAGGACCCGCCGGAGUACCACCAGGAAUCUGGGCACCGCCCUGCUCAACAUGUACAUGAGGUGCGGAGAUGUCGAGAGCGCGUGGUCCGUGUUCCGGGAGACGCUCGACAAGGAUGUCCGGACGUGGAGUGUCAUGAUCGCCGGGCUGGCCAUCAACGGGCUCCCCAGGGACGCGCUGGCCUUGUUCGCUGAGAUGAAGAACACAGGCGUGGACCCAGAUUCCAUCACCAUGACCGCCGUGCUGAGCGCGUGCGCCCAUGCUGGCAUGGUGGAUGAGGGCAAGAAGUUCCUGGACUGUAUGCCUGUCGAAUAUCGUGUGCAGCCCACCAUAGAGCAUUAUGGCUGCGUCGUCGAUCUGCUUGGUCGAGCAGGGCAGCUGGAGGAGGCAUUGGCUCUCAUUAAGGCUGUCCCGUUCCAGGCUGAUGUUGUCCUAUGGGGUGCUCUCUUGGUUGCCUGUAGGGUUCACAAGAAUGUCGACAUGGGCGAGAUGGCUGCCAUGGAGAUACUCAAGUUGGAUCCUCAGCAUGCUGGGGCAUGCGUGUUCUUAUCUAAUGUCUAUGCUGAUGCUGGGAAAUGGGACCUUGUACAAGGGGUAAGGAGCUCAAUGAAAGAACAUAAGAUAUACAAGCCUCCAGGAUCCAGCAUUGUUGAGCUAAAUGGUGUGGUUUACGAGUUCUUGUCCGGGGACCGUUCACAUCCUCAGUGUGAUCGAAUAUAUGCAAUGCUUGAUGAGAUUUGCAAGACUUUAAGCCUCAAGGGCUACAAGCCUUUAACUAAAGAAGUCACCUUUGACGUUGAUGAGGAGGACAAAGAAGUUUGCAUCUCGCAGCACAGCGAGAAACUCGCGCUUGCCUUGGGACUCAUAAGCACGACAAGAGGGGCUGUCAUCCGCAUAGUGAAGAACCUGAGAAUCUGCGAGGAUUGUCACUCUGUCAUGAAGAUAGUCUCAGCGGUCUACGAUCGGGUCAUAGUUGUCAGGGAUCGAAACCGAUUCCACCACUUCAAGAACGGCUCCUGUUCCUGCUUGGACUAUUGGUAG
This 1800-nucleotide ribosomal RNA is filed under the name Triticum aestivum (bread wheat). Its description in RNAcentral is "partial small subunit ribosomal RNA". The record is from RNAcentral. Lineage: Eukaryota; Viridiplantae; Streptophyta; Magnoliopsida; Poales; Poaceae.